Molecule: transfer RNA, 73 nt
Filed under: Bos taurus (domestic cattle)
Lineage: Eukaryota; Metazoa; Chordata; Mammalia; Artiodactyla; Bovidae
Also listed under: 5 other names
Rfam family: tRNA
About the family: Transfer RNA (tRNA) molecules are approximately 80 nucleotides in length.
Source: Rfam by way of RNAcentral
UCCCUGAUGGUCCAGUGGUUAAGACUCCACACUCCCAAUGCAGGGGGCCUGGGUUUGAUCCCUGGUCAGGGAA